RNAcentral lists this ribosomal RNA (245 nucleotides) under uncultured bacterium. RNAcentral's name for it is "partial 16S ribosomal RNA". It matches the Rfam family "Bacterial small subunit ribosomal RNA", at positions 524 to 768 of the family's 1533-position model. The record is from RNAcentral.
UACGUAGGGGGCAAGCGUUGUCCGGAAUUACUGGGCGUAAAGCGCACGCAGGCGGUUGUGUAAGUUCAAGGUGACAUCCAUUGGCUCAACUGAUGGGGUGCUUUGAAGACUACUCAACUUGAGCACGAGAGAGGGACACGGAAUUCCGGGUGGAGUGGUGAAAUGCGUAGAUAUCCGGAGGAACACCGAAGGCGAAGGCAGUGUUCUGGCUCGUUGCUGACGCUCAUGUGCGAAAGCCAGGGGAG